RNAcentral lists this ribosomal RNA (330 nucleotides) under uncultured Actinomycetes bacterium. RNAcentral describes it as "bacterial SSU rRNA". It matches the Rfam family "Bacterial small subunit ribosomal RNA", at positions 28 to 351 of the family's 1533-position model. Lineage: Bacteria; Bacillati; Actinomycetota; Actinomycetes. The record is from RNAcentral.
GACGAACGCUGGCGGUGUGCUUAACACAUGCAAGUGGAGCGACGAACCAGAGCUUGCUCUGGGGCAGAGCCGCGAACGGGUGAGUAACACGUGGGUAACGUACCCCGAUUACCGGGACAACCCGAGGAAACUCGGGCUAAUACCGGAUGUGCUCCCUCCCUAUGAGGGGAGUGAGUAAAGGAAGCUUCGGCCUCCGAAUCGGGAGCGGCCCGCGGCCUAUUAGUUUGUUGGUGGGGUAACGGCCUACCAAGACUGCGAUAGGUAGCUGGUCUGAGAGGACGAUCAGCCACACUGGGACUGAGACACGGCCCAGACUCCUACGGGUGGCUG